Molecule: unclassified non-coding RNA, 44 nt
Filed under: Sorangium cellulosum So ce56
Lineage: Bacteria; Pseudomonadati; Myxococcota; Polyangiales; Polyangiaceae
Description: sce_s2m_60
Source: RNAcentral
GCGGCCGCCCAUCCCGAUCGGGAUUUUCCUUAAAACGUACGCCU